CCCUUCAGAAUAGGUCCCUCGGGACCCGCCCCCCAAUCUCCUUACGCAACAAUCAUCUCCAUGGCAACUGCGAUAACCACAUUGGCCCCUUCCCCCACCCCCGGGUCCCUGUCUGUUCCCGAGGACCAACCAGGCAAGAGGUUGUUCUCCAGACCCCAAACCUUUGAAUCGGCCAAACCUGUGUGAGACGUCCUGACUUCAGGCAGAGCAGCCGUGACCCGCUGCUGCCCCCCGGAGCCAGCAUGGCAGAGGGGAGCAGGCAGCCUCCCACCCAGAGGGGAUUCUGGAAGGGUCUGCGGAGAGCACUUUUCCAUCAUCUGGCCUCAAUAAGGAAGCCAAAUAAAUUAUUUGGAAUCUGUCAAAUCGUGCCAGCGGAGGAGGAGGAGAAGGCCAAAGAGAAGGUGGAGGAGGAGGCAGAGGAGGAGAAAGAGAAGG
Molecule: long non-coding RNA, 435 nt
Organism: Ornithorhynchus anatinus (platypus)
Lineage: Eukaryota; Metazoa; Chordata; Mammalia; Monotremata; Ornithorhynchidae
Exons: 3
Source: RefSeq, a predicted model, not a curated record